Molecule: long non-coding RNA, 212 nt
Filed under: Prunus persica (peach)
Lineage: Eukaryota; Viridiplantae; Streptophyta; Magnoliopsida; Rosales; Rosaceae
Description: long non-coding RNA (PPER_LNC001813)
Source: RNAcentral
AGGCUAUGAGUUAAUAAUUGUAGUUGUUGUAGAAGUUAUGGUAUUGAAGGAGCACUCAUACUUUUACAUUUUUGUUAUAAAUGUAUCAACAUGAUUAUAAGGCCUUGAUAAGUGCUUUAUUUCUUAUAUUUUUAGACCAUUUUUAUUUGGCUUUUGUAAGGAAAGUUAAUUUCAAAGAGCCUUAUUACUUUACUUUCUUUAUUUUCAGUUUU